This 109-nucleotide ribosomal RNA is filed under the name Aeromonas veronii. Its description in RNAcentral is "partial 16S ribosomal RNA". It matches the Rfam family "Bacterial small subunit ribosomal RNA", at positions 1425 to 1533 of the family's 1533-position model. The record is from RNAcentral. Lineage: Bacteria; Pseudomonadati; Pseudomonadota; Gammaproteobacteria; Aeromonadales; Aeromonadaceae.
AGUAGAUAGCUUAACCUUCGGGAGGGCGUUUACCACGGUGUGAUUCAUGACUGGGGUGAAGUCGUAACAAGGUAACCCUAGGGGAACCUGGGGUUGGAUCACCUCCUUA